AUAUUCUGGUGUCCUAGGCGUA
This 22-nucleotide non-coding RNA is filed under the name Arabidopsis thaliana (thale cress). The record is from RNAcentral. Lineage: Eukaryota; Viridiplantae; Streptophyta; Magnoliopsida; Brassicales; Brassicaceae. RNAcentral also lists the same sequence under 1 other name.